RNAcentral lists this unclassified non-coding RNA (221 nucleotides) under plant metagenome. RNAcentral describes it as "partial contains small subunit ribosomal RNA, internal transcribed spacer 1, and 5.8S ribosomal RNA". The record is from RNAcentral.
GUUUCCGUAGGUGAACCUGCGGAAGGAUCAUUACAGAGUUCAUGCCCUCACGGGUAGAUCUCCCACCCUUGAAUAUUUAUACCUUAGUUGCUUUGGCAGGCCGUGGAAACACCAUGGGCUCCGGCUUAUGCGUGCCUGCCAGAGGAAACGAACUCUGUUUUUAGUGAUGUCUGAGUACUAUAUAAUAGUUAAAACUUUCAACAACGGAUCUCUUGGUUCUG